RNAcentral lists this ribosomal RNA (260 nucleotides) under uncultured prokaryote. Its description in RNAcentral is "partial 16S ribosomal RNA". It matches the Rfam family "Bacterial small subunit ribosomal RNA", at positions 524 to 784 of the family's 1533-position model. The record is from RNAcentral.
UACGUAGGGGCGAGCGUUGUCCGGAAUGAUUGGGCGUAAAGCGCGCGCAGGCGGUCCUUUAAGUCUGAUGUGAAAUCACGUGGCUCAACCACGUGCGGUCAUUGGAAACUGGAGGACUUGAGUGCAGAAGAGGAAAGUGGAAUUCCAAGUGUAGCGGUGAAAUGCGUAGAGAUUUGGAGGAACACCAGUGGCGAAGGUGACUUUCUGGUCUGUAACUGACGCUGAGGCGCGAAAGCGUGGGGAGCAAACAGGAUUAGAUA